AUGGCUGACAUGCAAAACACGGUAGAAAGAUUGGGAAGGGUAGUGGGCCACCUGGAGGUAGUACCCCCUGCCCCUGACACUGUGGAUAUGGACACAGUUCAAAAUUAGGGGCAGGUCCUCCAUGUGUCCAGGCAUUUGACUUGCUGCUUGCCUGUCCUGUGGCAGAGUACUUGAAGGUCAGCAGAGAGGUUGAGGGAGAUGUGCAGAAACAUGCGAACAUGGUCCGUGUGGAUCUGGAGUUGAAGCAAGCUCUCUUAGUACAGCCUCUCAGGAUAAGCAGCCAACAGACUUUCUGAUUCGUUGUCACCCAUCUCAGAGCAGAUCUAAGAAGUGAUAGUUUUUCUGAAGAAGUACCUGUCAGCUGUCCAUGAAAGUAUCCAGGCCCUGGGCCCGAUGUGGCUCCCAAGCCUGGCCUCUAUGUGACAGAAAUGAAUGAUGCUGCCCUGUUUUAUAUAAACUGAGUCCUCAAGGAAUACAAGGAUAUGAAUAAGAAGCAUCUAGCUGGGUCAAAGCUUACUUGAGUAUACGGACAGAGCUACAGGCUUAACUCAGUAAUGGAGUGCAAUACCACUGGACUGGCCUGGAGCAAGAUGAGGCCUGUGGCAAAAGAACUGAGUGGUUUACCAUCUGGACCCUCUGCUGGAUCAGCCCUCCUCCUCCACUCACAGGCCCACCACUUCCCAUUACCCUAGUCCCCACCAGUUCAAGCUCUGCUGAGUCUGCAUCCUGCUCAGCACUGUCUGCACAGAUUAAUCAGGGGAAGAACAUCACACGUCUUAAAAUAUGUAUCUAAUGACGCGAAAACUCACAAGAAUACUACCUUGAAGACAGAGUGGUCCAGUACGGUGUGGCCCCAAAUCACUCUCUGCAUUCAAAACCCAGACCAGCCCAUCUCCCAAACCAGCCAAGAAGAAGUAGCCAGCUCUACUUGAACUGGGAGGGCAGGAAGUGGAGAGUGGAAAAUCAGUCUGGUGAUUGAUGACCCAGAGCUGAAACAGGUGGUUUACAUAUACAAGUGUGUCAACACGGCGUUGCAAAUCAAGGGCAAAAAUAACUCCAUUACAGUAGAUAGCUGUAAGAAACUUGGUCUGGUAUUUAACGACGUGGUGGGCAUGUUGGAGAUUAUCAAUAGUAGGGAUGUCAAAGUUCAGGUAAUGGGUAGAAUGCCAACCAUUUCCAUCAACAAAACAGAUGGCUGUCAUGCUCACUUGAGCAAGAAUCCCCUGGAUUGUGUGAUAGUCCAUGCCAAAUCUUCUGAGAUGAACAUCCUCCUUCCUACAGAAGGUGGUGACUUUAUGAGUUUCCAGGCCCUGAGCAGUUCAAGACCCUACAGAAGCCAGAGGUUAGUCACCACAGCGACAGAAAUUGCUGGAUAAUAAAUGCUGCUGUAUUCCUUGCCCUCUCUCUUCACUCCAGAGGUUAAAUCUGCAUCACGACAGUUCUUCUCUAGACUCGCUUGACUUUUGUGCUUUAAAACUGAGACGCACAGCUUCCCAGGCUGAGAUUUGGGAUGGGAUAUUAGGUCAACCACACCAGCAGUCCAUUCUUAAGGAACUGCAAACCCGAACUGCUGCAUUUUAAUUUUUAGCUUUUGGGGGUUAUUCUACAAGCACACAAUCUUUUGAGAAGAAUAAAACAAUCCCAGGAAUUAACUGAUCAGAAUGUUCAUAGUAGUUAAUCUUUUCCUAACUAUGAGCAUAAAGGUAGCAGAAACUUGUGUUGGCUCCAGACACUUCUUUUAACAAAGCUAAUUUUUCACUGAUCACAGGUGAGGGAAUAUGUUGCACUGCACCAAAGGCUGAGGCUAGGCUCUUUAGAAUUCUGAGCAAAAUUGAUUCGUAUAAGCAUUCCUUUUACUCUGCCUCAGCCAUGAGCUAGGAGGUUCUUUGGUACCAGCUGCUAUAGCAGUGUCCUCCGUGCAGGGCAGUUAAAGGUGUCUUGGACCCUUUCUUUCUCUGGGACCCCUGCCCAGCACCUUCCUACAGAGAUGACUUGAAAGGGAAAUAAAGGAAAAAUACCACCUCAUUGCAAGGAGUCUCCCCUUGCUCCUUGCCUGCUAGAUGCCUGUCGUCCAUCGUCACUACCUCCUGUCCCCUGUCAUGCUCAGCAACUUACAGCUUCUGUCUAGGCACCUGACCAGGGGGCUAAAAGCUACACUGCAGGCUGGUUUUAGGUAUCGGUUUGUGUAAGAAUCUCCUACAGCAUUGCUAAUGUAAAUUUCAGUUCUCCUCCUAGGAUAAACAAUAACCAACAUCUGCAACUUUUUUUUGGCAAGAAGAGAGAUUGUCCUGUG
This is an RNA transcript of Nycticebus coucang (slow loris), 2293 nucleotides long. It is a transcript of the gene named adenylyl cyclase-associated protein 1-like, with no coding region annotated. The record is from RefSeq and is a predicted model, not a curated record. The transcript has a single exon. Lineage: Eukaryota; Metazoa; Chordata; Mammalia; Primates; Lorisidae.